CCUACGGGAGGCAGCAGUGAGGAAUAUUGGUCAAUGGACGAGAGUCUGAACCAGCCAAGUAGCGUGAAGGAUGACUGCCCUAUGGGUUGUAAACUUCUUUUAUAAAGGAAUAAAACGAGGCCCGUGUGCCUUUUUGUAUGUACUUUAUGAAUAAGGAUCGGCUAACUCCGUGCCAGCAGCCGCGGUAAUACGGAGGUUCCGAGCGUUAUCCGGAUUUAUUGGGUUUAAAGGGAGCGUAGAUGGGUUGGUAAGUCAGUUGUGAAAGUUUGCGGCUCAACCGUAAAAUUGCAAUUGAUACUGGCAGUCUUGAGUACAGGUGAGGUAGGCGGAAUUCGUGGUGUAGCGGUGAAAUGCUUAGAUAUCACGAAGAACCCCGAUUGCGAAGGCAGCUUACUAAACUGUGACUGACAUUGAUGCUCGAAAGUGUGGGUAUCAAACAGGAUUAGAUACCCUGGUAGUC
Molecule: ribosomal RNA, 460 nt
Filed under: uncultured bacterium
Lineage: Bacteria
Description: partial 16S ribosomal RNA
Rfam family: Bacterial small subunit ribosomal RNA
Source: RNAcentral